Molecule: ribosomal RNA, 453 nt
Filed under: Triticum aestivum (bread wheat)
Lineage: Eukaryota; Viridiplantae; Streptophyta; Magnoliopsida; Poales; Poaceae
Description: partial small subunit ribosomal RNA
Source: RNAcentral
AUGGAGGAAUCGACGUCUCGGCUUCACGACGACAAGUUACAGCGUCUCCACUGCCACCGCUUCUGCCCUGAGGUUAUUUGGCGGUGGGCAGCAGCGUGUGAAAUCUACUGCAGAGGAUUUGGGCAUUUUCCUACCGGUGGAAGACCUGCAUCCAGCCCCACAAGUCCUUUACUAGCCCUCCUUGCUGCAGUUCCAUCCUCUACCGUCAGGCCAGGCUGUCCAGCAAUCAGCAAGUUAAAAAGAUUUAAAUCAAGGUUUCCUGAUAAUUCUUUUGAAUCUUCCUGUAAGGCAGGCUUUUCAGAUAUCCCCCUGUUAGAGCUAGUUUUUCACUACCCAUUUGAUAACAGAAGAAAAUUAAACCCCAUGUCUCUGUAUGAAAAGCAACUACUGACCUUGUUCAUGGAUACAGGAACCGGGAAGAGCAAGAUGAUUUUGCAAGUUUUGGUUCGUUAG